Molecule: long non-coding RNA, 127 nt
Organism: Sphaeramia orbicularis (orbiculate cardinalfish)
Lineage: Eukaryota; Metazoa; Chordata; Actinopteri; Kurtiformes; Apogonidae
Exons: 3
Source: RefSeq, a predicted model, not a curated record
AUGCUGCCUUCAGUGCUAUGGGAAUUAUGGUAAACUAGUUACGAACUUGAAAAUUGCACGAAUGCUCCCUCAUGUUAUAUUUUCCACUGGAGAACUGGGUGGAGAUUUGGAUCGUGCAAGACGAUGG